Non-coding RNA from Peromyscus maniculatus bairdii (prairie deer mouse), 1044 nucleotides. The record is from RefSeq and is a predicted model, not a curated record. Lineage: Eukaryota; Metazoa; Chordata; Mammalia; Rodentia; Cricetidae.
CUUCCUCCCAGACUUCAGCAGUCCUCCUCCCUCAGACUUCUGAGUACUGACACUGUAGGCAUUCGUAUUCUAAAACUUUGGGGGACGACUUCAGAGCAUAAAUGAGAAUAGAACCGCCGUCUAUCCAUAUGAAGUGUCAGAUCCCAACCGAGUAGCAGCCUACAAGAUAUUGACAGGGUCUGGAACUGGCUAUGUAGACCAGACGAACCUCAAAAUUAUAGAGAUCAGCUUGUCUCUGCUUCCUGAGUGCAAUUUUCUUGAUUGCUCUAUGAAUCUAACACUGUUCCAAAAUAAAUGGUGUAUUUUUAAAAGUCUUAUGUCCAUCCAAAACUAGUUUCAUGAGAACAUUUCCAGAAAAAUACUCUGCUUCUAUGUCUGGAUAUUCCCAUUCAGUCCUCCUUCCCUUCUGCUCAGUUUCUCUACUGAGCUCUUGACCAGAAGGCUGACCUUACACACAACAUCAAUAGGCCCCUUCCAGGAGCACAAGAGCAGUACAGGGAAGAGGAACUGCAACAGAAGAUGAAGGAGAGAGAAUUUUCAGUGUGCCCCGGACUCCUUCCUUGCUGAAUGUGAAAUUAUUAAUAGCUCUGGUUCUCUGCCUGAGUGAGUGAUCUGAUGGGCAGUCUUCUGCAGUAACACGGUCCUGGCGACAGCUCCCUCCUUCUGCCCUCUCAGAUUGGGACAUUUAGGGGUUGACAGCUCCGUGAAGUCACUCCUGAAGAACUUUGCCCUGUUUUCAUGUUCCUUUACCGGCCUACCCUUUUGUAAGCAAGCCAUUGGUUAACUCCAUCUGAAUAUGCCAUCUUUUUUAACUUUUUUAAGUAAUAUACAAGUAUAUAUCCCUCCAUCUACAUAAACAUUAGUAUACUGUACACUUUUCUGGCUUCUUUUUUUCCAUCUCAGCAUAGUUUGAGUUUCUUUCUGUCUAUAUAUACUGGUUACCUUAUGAGUGUCCCAUUUCUGUGUAUAAUAUACUUGUAAACUUUGUAUAAAAAAUGUGAACGGAAAAAUGAAAGUAGGUGAGUGUUGUCUGUUUAUUUUUUU